CCUGCUCCAGUGACCCUGGCGGAGCAGGGCCAGCAGGUGGUGGAUGUGGAGACGGAUCUAUUUCUUGGAUUGCCCGGCACCGGCCGCUCCUGAGAUUCAGGCAGGCUGACAACGCCUGAGAAAAAUGCCCAGAAUAAGCUGGCAAUGGAGUUGCAAGCAGCAGCAGGCAAUGGAUGCGGACGGCGUAUAGAUAUAAUAUAAACCCUGUGCAGCGGAAACCUCGAGAGUACAUACAUGAAUUAGUUGUUGUUGUUGAUGUUUCCCCGGGCUCUGGUUGUGAUGUGCCGAUGUCGUUGAUGAGAGGAACGGAUCGUCCGCCAUAGAUCCUCUGGAGAAGAAGGGUGGCGGAGGGAAAGCUAACGGAUA
Molecule: long non-coding RNA, 366 nt
Filed under: Triticum aestivum (bread wheat)
Lineage: Eukaryota; Viridiplantae; Streptophyta; Magnoliopsida; Poales; Poaceae
Description: long non-coding RNA (TAES_LNC004897)
Source: RNAcentral